Molecule: long non-coding RNA, 1111 nt
Organism: Bos taurus (domestic cattle)
Lineage: Eukaryota; Metazoa; Chordata; Mammalia; Artiodactyla; Bovidae
Source: Ensembl
GCAUGCUCAGUGGGCGGUGGCCGCGGGGGCGUUGCGGGACAUUCCCUCCCCACCCCCCGACUCCCUCCACAGGCCGCGGGGUGGCCACUGUCGUGGGCCGCGGGCCACUUGGGCUUUGUCCAGAGGGCUGCGCGGCCGGCGAGGCUGAAACCUUAGAAGGAACUGAACUCUAAUGACACCGAGGUGGGGGCGGGGAGGCGGCGACAGAGAAGGCACGGAGCCAAGGGAGGAGGGCAGCGGGAGCGAGCCCUGCACCCGCCGCCGCACCGCGGUGCACCACACAGGCGGGCCUCGGGGCUGAAGAGCUACCUGGGCGCCUGUGAAAAGACGAGUUCUGCACCCGGCUCCACUCCCCUCUUCCUGCCCGAUACUCCGUCGGUCCAGGAAUAGGCACUUUUGUUCCGCACCUGUGGGCAGUUCUGAUGCACGUUUUGAGGAAGUGCUAAAAUGUCAUUAGUAUGAGAAAGGCAAGUCCUAACUUUACCGACAUCCCUCCCCCAGGAGACUUCUUCAUUUGACUGGAAGGACCGCUUCAAUAAACUGCUUAGGCUGGAGGCUGUAACAUCCGCCUCUAAGGGAAAUUGGUUAUUAAGGGGGCUUCCAUGGUGGCUCAGAUAGUAUAGCGUCUGCCUGCAAUGCAGGAGACAUGGGUUAGAUCCCUGGGUUCGGAAUAUCCCCUGCAGAAGGAAAUGGCAACCCAUUCCAAUACUCUUGCCUGGAAAAUUCCAUGGACAGAGGAGCCUGGUGGGCUACAGUCUAUGGGGUCGCAAAGAGUCGGACACGACUGAGCGACUUCACUCACUUUGUUAUUGUCACAGCCAUCAGCAAUUUCUGACCUCCAAAUACGAAUCCCAAACUGCAAUCCUCUGGAUGUUGCUACCCCAACCCCGCCUUUGAUUGCUCAGGAGCUGGGGGAAAUGCAAGUUGACAGGUUGUGCACAGGGCUUGAUACAUUGAGCUGUGGACGUUUACCUGGCCAGAGGUGAAUUGCUUCUGCCUGAUGAAAGACAGCCCUGCCUGGAUCAGCACACACCUUUCCUCACUGUAAUUCCUGCUUUUUACUCUAAAGGAAGAACUGUCACACAACAUUUUAAAUCAACCAUACUCCAAU